UACGUAGGGGGCAAGCGUUAUCCGGAUUUACUGGGUGUAAAGGGGGCGCAGACGGCAAUGCAAGCCAGGAGUGAAAGCCCGGGGCCCAACCCCGGGACUGCUCUUGGAACUGCAUGGCUGGAGUACAGGAGGGGCGGGCGGAAUUCCUAGUGUAGCGGUGAAAUGCGUAGAUAUUAGGAGGAACACCGGUGGCGAAGGCGGCCUGCUGGACUGUGACUGACGUUGAGGCCCGAAGGCGUGGGGAGCAAACAGG
This 253-nucleotide ribosomal RNA is filed under the name uncultured bacterium. RNAcentral's name for it is "partial 16S ribosomal RNA". It matches the Rfam family "Bacterial small subunit ribosomal RNA", at positions 524 to 776 of the family's 1533-position model. The record is from RNAcentral.